This 465-nucleotide ribosomal RNA is filed under the name uncultured bacterium. RNAcentral describes it as "partial 16S ribosomal RNA". It matches the Rfam family "Bacterial small subunit ribosomal RNA", at positions 28 to 507 of the family's 1533-position model. The record is from RNAcentral.
GACGAACGCUGGCGGCGUGCUUAACACAUGCAAGUCGAACGGAAAGGCCCUGCUUGCAGGGUACUCGAGUGGCGAACGGGUGAGUAACACGUGGGUGAUCUGCCCUGCACUUCGGGAUAAGCCUGGGAAACUGGGUCUAAUACCGGAUAUGACCUUCCAUGUAGUGUGGGGGGUGGAAAGAUUUAUCGGUGUGGGAUGAGCCCGCGGCCUAUCAGCUUGUUGGUGGGGUAAUGGCCUACCAAGGCGUCGACGGGUAGCCGGCCUGAGAGGGUGGACGGCCACAUUGGGACUGAGAUACGGCCCAGACUCCUACGGGAGGCAGCAGUGGGGAAUAUUGCACAAUGUGCGGAAGCCUUAUGCAGCGACGCCGCGUGGGGGAUGACGGCCUUCGGGUUGUAAACCUCUUUCGACAGGGACGAAGCUUCGGUGACGGUACCUGUAGAAGAAGCACCGGCUAACUACGUG